This 189-nucleotide small nucleolar RNA is filed under the name Corchorus capsularis. Its description in RNAcentral is "snoRNA snoR143". It matches the Rfam family "small nucleolar RNA snoR143". The record is from Rfam by way of RNAcentral. Lineage: Eukaryota; Viridiplantae; Streptophyta; Magnoliopsida; Malvales; Malvaceae.
AUUUUUAUGAAAGAAAGCAAUUUCUUAAUGCUUUGUUUCUAUAACAACAGUGCAGAAAUUGAAAGCCUGAUUUUGCUUCUUUGGAAACAAAGAAAACAGAGUUAGGCAGCGGCCAGACAACCGUAGGGAUGGUAUCCACAGAUUAAGGGCAAUUCUAUCCCUUUUGUCUACUGAUUCCAUCUCACAUUU